Molecule: ribosomal RNA, 304 nt
Filed under: uncultured bacterium
Lineage: Bacteria
Description: partial 16S ribosomal RNA
Rfam family: Bacterial small subunit ribosomal RNA
Source: RNAcentral
CAGCAGCCGCCGCGGUAAUACGAAGGGUGCAAGCGUUAAUCGGAAUUACUGGGCGUAAAGCGUGCGUAGGCGGUGAGUUAAGUCUGCUGUGAAAUCCCCGGGCUCAACCUGGGAAUGGCAGUGGAUACUGGCUCGCUAGAGUGUGUCAGAGGAUGGUGGAAUUCCCGGUGUAGCGGUGAAAUGCGUAGAGAUCGGGAGGAACAUCAGUGGCGAAGGCGGCCAUCUGGGACAACACUGACGCUGAGGCACGAAAGCGUGGGGAGCAAACAGGAUUAGAUACCCCGGUAGUCCCUGUCUCUUAUAC